RNAcentral lists this ribosomal RNA (515 nucleotides) under uncultured bacterium. Its description in RNAcentral is "partial 16S ribosomal RNA". It matches the Rfam family "Bacterial small subunit ribosomal RNA", at positions 28 to 523 of the family's 1533-position model. The record is from RNAcentral.
GAUGAACGCUGGCGGCGUGCCUAAUACAUGCAAGUCGAGCGAGUGGAUUAAGAGCUUGCUCUUAUGAAGUUAGCGGCGGACGGGUGAGUAACACGUGGGUAACCUGCCCAUAAGACUGGGAUAACUCCGGGAAACCGGGGCUAAAACCGGAUCACAUUUUGAACCGCAUGGUUCGAAAUUGAAAGGCGGCUUCGGCUGUCACCUAUGGAUGGACCCGAGUUGCAUUAGCUAGUUGGCGAGGUAACGGCUCACCGAGGCAACGGUGCUGAGCCGAACUGAGAGGGUGAUCGGCCACACUGGGAGUGAGACACGGCCCAGACUCCUACGGGAGGCAGCAGUAGGGAAUCUUCCGCAAUGGACAAAAGUCUGACGGAGCAACGCCGCGUGAGUGAUGAAGGCUUUCGGGUCGUAAAACUCUGUUGUUAGGGAAGAACAAGUGCUAGUUGAAUAAGCUGGCACCUUGACGGUACCUAACCAGAAAGCCACGGCUAACUACGUGCCAGCCGCCGCGGUAA